Molecule: ribosomal RNA, 498 nt
Filed under: uncultured bacterium
Lineage: Bacteria
Description: bacterial SSU rRNA
Rfam family: Bacterial small subunit ribosomal RNA
Source: RNAcentral
UCCUGGCUUAGGAUGAACGCUGGCGGCGUGCCUAACACAUGCAAGUCGAACGGAGUAAUUAAGCGGAAGUUUCGGAUGGAAGCAUAGUACUAGUGGCGGACGGGUGAGUAACGCGUGGGCAACCUGCCCUGUACCGGGGGAUAACACUUAGAAAUAGGUGCUAAUACCGCAUAAGCGCACAGCUUCGCAUGAAGGUGUGUGAAAAACUCCGGUGGUACAGGAUGGACCCGCGUCUGAUUAGCUAGUUGGUGGGGUAGAGGCCUACCAAGGCGACGAUCAGUAGCCGGCCUGAGAGGGUGACCGGCCACAUUGGGACUGAGACACGGCCCAAACUCCUACGGGAGGCAGCAGUGGGGAAUAUUGCACAAUGGGGGAAACCCUGAUGCCAGCGACGCCGCGUGAGUGAAGAAGUAUUUCGGUAUGUAAAGCUCUAUCAGCAGGGAAGAAAAUGACGGUACCUGACUAAGAAGCCCCGGCUAACUACGUGCCAGCCGCCGC